GUUGAACGCUGGCGGCAUGCUUUACACAUGCCAGUCGAACGGCAGCGCGGGCUUCGGCCUGGCGGCGAGUGGCGAACGGGUGAGUAAUACAUCGGAACGUGCCCAGUAGUGGGGGAUAGCUCGGCGAAAGCCGGAUUAAUACCGCAUACGACCUGAGGGUGAAAGCGGGGGAUCUUCGGACCUCGCGCUAUUGGAGCGGCCGAUGGCAGAUUAGCUAGUUGGUGGGGUAAAGGCCUACCAAGGCGACGAUCUGUAGCUGGUCUGAGAGGACGACCAGCCACACUGGGACUGAGACACGGCCCAGACUCCUACGGGAGGCAGCAGUGGGGAAUUUUGGACAAUGGGCGAAAGCCUGAUCCAGCAAUGCCGCGUGUGCGAUGAAGGCCUUCGGGUUGUAAAGCACUUUUGGCGGGAACGAAAAGGACUGUGCCAAUACCACGGUUCGAUGACGGUACCCGCAGAAUAAGCACCGGCUAACUACGUG
Molecule: ribosomal RNA, 484 nt
Filed under: uncultured bacterium
Lineage: Bacteria
Description: partial 16S ribosomal RNA
Rfam family: Bacterial small subunit ribosomal RNA
Source: RNAcentral